CAAUAUGUUAUUGGGAGCCCGAAUCUGAGGCUGAGAGGGAAUGAUGUAUUCCGACCAUUGACCUGAUCUGGGUAAUUCCAGCGUAGGGAUUUUGCUGAAUAUACUG
This 106-nucleotide non-coding RNA is filed under the name Peptoclostridium litorale. RNAcentral describes it as "Clostridium litorale TPP sequence". It matches the Rfam family "TPP riboswitch aptamer (THI element)". Rfam says of the family: Vitamin B(1) in its active form thiamin pyrophosphate (TPP) is an essential coenzyme that is synthesised by coupling of pyrimidine and thiazole moieties in bacteria. The previously detected thiamin-regulatory element, thi box was extended, resulting in a new, highly conserved RNA secondary structure, the THI element, which is widely distributed in eubacteria and also occurs in some archaea. The record is from RNAcentral. RNAcentral also lists the same sequence under 1 other name. Lineage: Bacteria; Bacillati; Bacillota; Clostridia; Peptostreptococcales; Peptoclostridiaceae.